Molecule: ribosomal RNA, 700 nt
Filed under: Halobellus sp. S2FP8
Lineage: Archaea; Methanobacteriati; Methanobacteriota; Halobacteria; Halobacteriales; Haloferacaceae
Description: bacterial SSU rRNA
Rfam family: Archaeal small subunit ribosomal RNA
Source: RNAcentral
AGUAGAUUUAGCAUGCUAGUCGUGCGAGUUCACACUCGCGGCUGUAGCUCAUGGACACGUGGCCUACUACCCUACAGAGACGCAUAACCUCGGGAAACUGAGGCUAAUUCGUCAUACCCCUCUCACGCUGGAAUGCCAAGAGGCACAAACGCUCCCGCGCUGUAGGAUGUGGCUGCGGCCGAUUAGGUAGACGGUGGGGUAACGGCCCACCGUGCCCAUAAUCGGUACGGGUUGUGAGAGCAAGAGCCCGGAGACGGAAUCUGAGACAAGAUUCCGGGCCCUACGGGGCGCAGCAGGCGCGAAACCUUUACACUGCACGCACGUGCGAUAAGGGGACUCCGAGUGCGAGGGCAUAUCGUCCUCGCUUUUGUGUACCGUAGGGCGGUACACGAACAAGAGCUGGGCAAGACCGGUGCCAGCCGCCGCGGUAAUACCGGCAGCUCAAGUGAUGGCCGAUCUUAUUGGGCCUAAAGCGUCCGUAGCUGGCCUCGAAAGUCCGUCGGGAAAUCCACACGCCCAACGUGUGGGCGUCCGGCGGAAACUCCGAGGCUUGGGACCGGAAGGCUCGAGGGGUACGUCCGGGGUAGGAGUGAAAUCCCGUAAUCCCGGACGGACCACCGAUGGCGAAAGCACCUCGAGAAAACGGAUCCGACAGUGAGGGACGAAAGCUAGGGUCUCGAACCGGAUUAGAUACCCGGGU